RNAcentral lists this long non-coding RNA (201 nucleotides) under Mytilus galloprovincialis (Mediterranean mussel). Lineage: Eukaryota; Metazoa; Mollusca; Bivalvia; Mytilida; Mytilidae. The record is from RNAcentral.
UUCGUUGUUGGGUUGCUGCCCCUGAAAUGGUAAUUUUAAGGAAAUUUUGCUAUUUUUGGUUAUUAUCUUGAAUAUUAUUAUAGAUAGAGAUAAACUGUAAACAGCAAUAAUGUUCAGCAAAGUAAGAUCUACAAAUAAGUCAACAUGACCAAAAUGGUCAGUUAAACCACUUUAGGAGUUAUUGCCCUUUAUAGUCAAUUU